GACGAACGCUGGCGGCGUGCUUAACACAUGCAAGUCGAACGGUAAGGCCCUUCGGGGUACACGAGUGGCGAACGGGUGAGUAACACGUGGGUGAUCUGCCCUGCACUUCGGGAUAAGCCUGGGAAACUGGGUCUAAUACCGGAUAGGACCACUGCCUGCAUGGGUGGUGGUGGAAAGCUCUUGCGGUGUGGGAUGGGCCCGCGGCCUAUCAGCUUGUUGGUGGGGUGAUGGCCUACCAAGGCGACGACGGGUAGCCGGCCGGAGAGGGUGACCGGCCACACUGGGACUGAGAUACGGCCCAGACUCCUACGGGAGGCAGCAGUGGGGAAUAUUGCACAAUGGGCGCAAGCCUGAUGCAGCGACGCCGCGUGAGGGAUGACGGCCUUCGGGUUGUAAACCUCUUUCAGCACCGACGAAGCGCAAGUGACGGUAGGUGCAGAAGAAGGACCGGCCAACUACGUGCCAGCAGCCGCGGUAA
RNAcentral lists this ribosomal RNA (478 nucleotides) under uncultured bacterium. RNAcentral describes it as "partial 16S ribosomal RNA". It matches the Rfam family "Bacterial small subunit ribosomal RNA", at positions 28 to 523 of the family's 1533-position model. The record is from RNAcentral.